Molecule: ribosomal RNA, 310 nt
Filed under: uncultured bacterium
Lineage: Bacteria
Description: bacterial SSU rRNA
Rfam family: Bacterial small subunit ribosomal RNA
Source: RNAcentral
GACGAACGCUUGCGGCGUGCCUAACACAUGCAAGUCGAACGGAAGUAAGUGCUUCGGUAUUUACUUUAGUGGCGAACGGGUGAGUAACGCGUGAGGAACCUGCCUUUCAGUGGGGGACAACAGUUGGAAACGACUGCUGAUACCGCAUAAUGUUUCCGAGUCCGCACUGGAUUGGAAACCAAAGCUUUAUGUGCUGAAAGAUGGCCUCGCGUCUGAUUAGAUAGUUGGUAGGGUAACGGCCCACCAAGGCGACGAUCAGUAGCCGGUCUGAGAGGAUGAACGGCCACAUUGGGACUGAGAUACGGCCCAG